AAUGGGGAAACCCAGUGUGUUUCGACACACUAUCAUUAACUGAAUCCAUAGGUUAAUGAGGCGAACCGGGGGAACUGAAACAUCUAAGUACCCCGAGGAAAAGAAAUCAACCGAGAUUCCCCCAGUAGCGGCGAGCGAACGGGGAGGAGCCCAGAGCCUGAAUCAGUGUGUGUGUUAGUGGAAGCGUCUGGAAAGGCGCGCGAUACAGGGUGACAGCCCCGUACACAAAAAUGCACAUAUUGUGAGCUCGAUGAGUAGGGCGGGACACGUGGUAUCCUGUCUGAAUAUGGGGGGACCAUCCUCCAAGGCUAAAUACUCCUGACUGACCGAUAGUGAACCAGUACCGUGAGGGAAAGGCGAAAAGAACCCCGGCGAGGGGAGUGAAAAAGAACCUGAAACCGUGUACGUACAAGCAGUGGGAGCCUCUUAAUGGGGUGACUGCGUACCUUUUGUAUAAUGGGUCAGCGACUUAUAUUCUGUAGCAAGGUUAACCGAAUAGGGGAGCCGAAGGGAAACCGAGUCUUAACUGGGCGUUAAG
This 538-nucleotide ribosomal RNA is filed under the name Escherichia coli. RNAcentral describes it as "partial 23S ribosomal RNA". It matches the Rfam family "Bacterial large subunit ribosomal RNA", at positions 117 to 699 of the family's 2925-position model. The record is from RNAcentral. Lineage: Bacteria; Pseudomonadati; Pseudomonadota; Gammaproteobacteria; Enterobacterales; Enterobacteriaceae.